UGCACUUUCCCACCCCUGGUAAGCACGUCCGCGUUGCUAAAUUAUCACCCAGACGGUCCUUACUGUCAUUUUCCAAUAAAUAAAAAUAGAACGUUCAACGACGGACACCGACGUCCGGCUACGAUCACGAGGACGUUUCGGUGUCCGAAUCAAAACCGCGCCUUUUCCCAUCGCACGCCGGACGUGAACGCCGGACCUGACAAACGACAUGCAGUAGAUGCGUGAAAAUGACCAGACGUCAAGUGUUUAGAAGAAACGUUUUGUGAUGUAAUCAUGCACCAGCCAAUCAGAGGCAGACUGUACAUUUGAUCAGCAACCAUCUCCGACAGACCAGCACUUUUCCAGACGCCAAAACAUCCUUGUGUAGUCGACCUUAUCGGGACGCGUCCGUCUCGUCGUCCUCCGCCUCUUUCAUAUUUACACCUACAUCACCAUGACGAUGCGCUUUACAUCUAUACCUCAGGAAUUAAAAUCGGGGAAAGAAAAUCUUAUCGUUCCUUGCUAAUCUCUAUCAUUCGUUAUGUCUAAUAACUAAAGACAUCACAGCUCGUGUUUCAACGCGCACGUCUGGAGCGUAAGCGUGCGAGUGUGGUGUUCUUCCACACACGUCUCGGAACCUAAGCACUUGCAAAAAACAGCGAAAGUCACAUUAUAGUCCGUAUAAAACUGUGCAAAUUUUCAAUACAGUGAUUAAUAAGGUUAAAACGUGAGCCAUGGCUUUCGGUCCGAAGCAAAGGGCCGUCCCGCGUCGCACGAUCGACGGACGGGUGGCAAUCGUCUUCUUUUACUCUCUCUCUCGUGUAGUGAAUUAAACCGCCGUCCGAGUCGUGACCUCUGAAGCGCAAGAGUCGUUUAAAACGGCAGCGACGCUUCGAUAACGAUCAGUUAUUUAUUUAAAAUGACAGAAACACACAUGGACAAAUCACCAUGAUCUCAAUCUCACUGACUGAGGGAUCUCAUGGGGUGAAAAAAGCAAAAAAAAUAAAAUUAAAUUAAAAAAAAAGGUAAAAUAUAUCUGGAAAAACAAAUAUUAUGGUACAGUGCGUACGUGCGUCGCCGUAGUGUGUGGUGAACAUGUACAACAUUAGUAGUAGCACGUGUUGGACUGAGGCCGAAGCAACGGAGAGCCGACGGGACGAAUCUAGACGGGGGUGUCGAAACGAAAUAAGUGUGUGUGUGUGUGUAAAUUACCGGGGUGUGUCAAUAUCAAGACUCCGUCCAUUUAAAGCUUCGAAUUCCGGUUAUUUAAAAUGUUCAGUAUUCGAAUGCGCAUGAAUUCCACACUGGUAUGAGAUUAGCAAACAUUCACAUUCGUGUUGUGUUUGUAAAGCGUGAAGCGACCCGAUUAUACGUCGAGAUCCAAUCAGUCUGGGAGUCACAUUUAUUCGUUCAUUUACUGGCUGUAACAUUAGUUGGAUAUCUAGAGAUGGCACUGAUCCAAUAAAACAUGGAUAUGUUUGGAAAUAAUGGCAAAGAUUGGAACUGGAUUUGGAAAAUAAAUGUCAUUUUUGGAACUAUAUAUAUAUAUAUAUAUAUAUAUAUAUAUAUAUAUAUAUAUAUAUAUAUAUAUAUAUAUAAAAUAAACUCGACUGUUUUUUCUUUAGCUCGGGUUGAUUUUAUUGCACGUCAACUUUAUACUUGAAUGUAUUUGUAGCCAAGUGUCGUUUUUUUACGUGAGAGAGUUUAACUCUGAAGUGCGUCAGUUUAAAAAACAAAACAAAAAACAUUGUAAAGCGUAGUAGUUUUUAAAGAAGACGAUAUCGGACGGUAUCGGUAUCGGUAUCGGCCGACACUCGAGGUUUCAGGUAUGGUAUUGCACCAUCUCUAGUUUAGAAAAAAAAAAAAAUGUAAAUAAUAAUAAUAAUAAAUCAGUGGAGUUUUGGCGGUGAUCUCCUGAAAGACUGGCACUCCCGUCUUUCCCGACCUCAUGUGAAAAGAGCGAUUUGGCUAAAAUGCGUAGUCAGGUGUAUAAAAAUAAAAAACACCGGAUCUUAAAAUCCAUUUAACGAUCCGAACUCACGACGUCGGCGGCAUUCGGAAGUGAAAUCCCAAGCUGGUUUAACGUUUAAAAACGCUUGUUCUGUCCACGAUCCGAUGUUCCCCGGUACACCGGAUGUUAGGACACGUGCAAUCGUCCGAUUUCAGGAUGUCGCAAUAAUCUGAAGUGUUCACGACGUCCCCGGAAGUUAAGAUACAGGAUUAUUGGCACACGAACGUUCUAUAUUAAAAUCAUAGACGUCAAAUUCCUACCGUUUAAAAGCACUGGGUCAAAGAGUCUGGACUAAAUCCUCCGUCCCGCAUGAGAAUAAUACGGGUAUAAAUAACGCGGUCGGGAUCCGUACCGGGAGUUACACCAUCCCCUGGAGAUAAAUAUAGCAAUAAGACUUUUUUUUUUUUUUUUUUUUCCCGCCCCCGAGCUUUCAUUAGACUUGUUGAUUGGACGAGGUUUUGCGUGACGUAUCCUGCAUUAAGAAGCCGAGUGAAACUGUUCUUGGUCCUAUAAGGAGAACAUCUAUUACUCUAACUCUAGACGUCUAGACGUAACAAAACUCCACGUACUGCUCACUCGCUGCAUUCGGAAUAAAAUCUGGCGUUGGAAUGUGCAUCCGAUUCGAUUCGGUUUU
Molecule: long non-coding RNA, 2624 nt
Organism: Ictalurus punctatus (channel catfish)
Lineage: Eukaryota; Metazoa; Chordata; Actinopteri; Siluriformes; Ictaluridae
Source: Ensembl